CCUACGGGCGGCUGCAGUGAGGAAUAUUGGUCAAUGGCCACAGGGCUGAACCAGCCAAGUCGCGUGAGGGAUGACGGUCCUAUGGAUUGUAAACCUCUUUUGUCAGGGAGCAAAGGGCGCCACGUGUGGCGCUUUGCGAGUACCUGAAGAAAAAGGAUCGGCUAACUCCGUGCCAGCAGCCGCGGUAAUACGGAGGAUGCGAGCGUUAUCCGGAUUUAUUGGGUUAAAAGGGUGCGCAGGGGGACUGUCAAGUCAGCGAGAAAAUUUCGGGGCUAAACCUGGUCGUGCCGUUGAAACUGGGGAUCUUGAGUGAACGAGAGGUAUGCGGAAUGCGUGGUGUAGCGGUGAAAUGCAUAGAUAUCACGCAGAACUCCGAUUGCGAAGGCAGCAUACCGGAGCCCAACUGACGCUGAGGCACGAAAGCGUGGGUAUCGAACAGGAUUAGAUACCCUUGUAGUC
This 459-nucleotide ribosomal RNA is filed under the name uncultured bacterium. RNAcentral's name for it is "partial 16S ribosomal RNA". It matches the Rfam family "Bacterial small subunit ribosomal RNA", at positions 338 to 795 of the family's 1533-position model. The record is from RNAcentral.